Non-coding RNA from Arachis ipaensis, 3034 nucleotides. The record is from RefSeq and is a predicted model, not a curated record. NCBI's taxonomy places the organism in Eukaryota, Viridiplantae, Streptophyta, Magnoliopsida, Fabales, Fabaceae.
AACUCUACCCUCACUCUCUCGGAUGGAAAGCACUCUUCCUUUUUACCAUACUCUCCUUCAUUGCAAGAAUGUUAUCAUUGUUCUCAUUCUCACCAAUAAUGUUAAGGUAUGCUCUUCAAAUCCCAAAUUCUGUUUCCCACUCUGCUCUCCGUCUUUGCUUCCAUUCAACUUCAUCCCUACACUCUCACUCUCAUCCCCAAUCGCUUGAUGAAGCUGUUGAUUCCUUCACUCGCAUGCUCUCUAUGCGUCGUACUCCUCCCAUCAUCCAAUUUAACCAGAUUUUGGGAUCCCUUUCCAAGACAAAGCAUUUCCACGCCGCCGUUUCCCUUUUUCAGCAAUUGCAAAUCAGCGGAAUCGCGCCCAGCGUAGUUACUUUGAGCAUCGUAAUUAAUUGUUGUUGCGGCAUGGGUCGUAUGACGCUUGCUUUCUCUGUAUUGGCCAAGAUUUUCAGGAUGGGUUUUCAGCCUGAUACCAUAACAUUGACAACAAUCCUGAAAGGUCUCUGUCUCUGUGGUAGUGUUGAAAAAGCAGUGCGCUUUCAUGACAGAGUGCUGGCUCAUGGAUUUCACUUCAACCAAGUCACUUAUGGGACGUUGAUCAAUGGGCUCUGUAAGACCGGACACACAUCGGCUGCUAUUCAAGUGUUGAGAAACAUCCCACGGUAUGGCAUUGCUCCUGAUGUCUUCAUGUACAGCGCAAUUAUUGAUAGCCUCUGCAAGGAUACACUUGUAAGUCAGGCUUUUCAUUUAUUUUCUGAAAUGCUUGCUAAGGGAGUUUCUCCUAAUGUUAUCACAUACAAUUCUCUCAUUUUUGGAUUGUGUCUUGAGGGUCAAUAUAAGGAAGCCAUGGAUUUGUUAAGUGAUAUGGUGCUUAGAAACAUUACUCCAAAUGUUCGUACCUAUAGUAUUUUGAUCGAUGGGCUAUGCAAGGAAGGAAAGAUCAAAGAUGCUAAGAGUGUAUUGGCUGUAAUGGCAAAACAUGGUGUGAAACCAGAUGUGGUUACUUAUGCCAGCUUAAUGGAUGGAUAUUGUUUGGUUAAUCAGGUAAAUAAGGCAAAAUAUAUAUUCAACACAAUGGCCCAAAGUAGAGUGUCACCCAAUGUUCAAAGUUACAGUAUCAUGAUUAAUGGCUUGUGCAAAAGUAAAAGGGUCGAUGAAGCCUUGAAUCUCUUUGAAGAAAUGCGUCGUAAGUAUUUGGUUCCAAACACGGUAACUUACAACACUCUUAUUGAUGGCUUGAGCAAAUCGAAGAGAAUCUCUUGUGCUUUGGAGCUUCUUGUCAAGAUGCACGAAAGAGGUCCACCCUCUGAUGUAGUCACUUACAAUUCCUUGUUGGAUGGGAUGUUCAAAAACCAACAAGUUGACAAGGCACUUAUGUUAUUCAAGCAAAUGAAAGAGAGUGGCAUUGAUCCAGAUAUAUGCACGUACAAUGUACUUAUUGAUGGCCUAUGCAAAGGUGGAAGACUUUUAGUUGCAAAAGAGAUUUUUCAAGAUGUUUCCGUUAAAGGCUAUCGUCCAAAUGUGAGGACAUACAAUAUUAUUAUCAAUGGGAUCUGCAAAGAGGGCUUGUUUGAAGAAGCAUUGGCACUCUUGUCAAAAAUGGAAGGCAAUGGUUGCUUACCAGAUGCUGUGACUUUUGAAACUAUUAUUCGUGCUUUGUUUGAAAAAGAUGAGAAUGACAUGGCAGAGAAACUUCUUCGGGAAAUGGUUGCUAGAGGCUUAUUGAAUUGAUAAAAAAAAGUUCUCGUUAUGCAAUCUGCAAUGGAGUUCUUUUCAGGCUCUACCAUUUGUAGGCACAGGACUCCAAUAAUAGUACUACACCUCCAGCAUCUUUGUACUUUAGGUUGGAAAGAGGGUUAUGAUAAACGGGCUAUGCAAAGAGGGUAUACUUGAUGAAGCAUUGGCCUUAAAGUUGGAAAUGGAAGACAAUGGUUGCCCUCUGGAUGCUGUAAUUUAAGAAACAAAUAUCCGUGCUCUGUUGAAAAAAAGGUGCACGCAAGCAUGUUAAGUUGCAGCAUGGCAAAGACAAGAUUGAAGAUCUCUAGUAUGUGAUUUUGGCUUAUCAUGAAUGAAGCACAGUAAAUUCCUUUCUUCCAGAUCAACUGCAGGAACAGCCGAGUGGAUGGCGCCUGAAGUGUUAAGAAAUGAACCUUCAAAUGAAAAGUGCGAUGUUUAUAGCUUUGGAGUCAUAUUAUGGGAGCUCUCUACUUUGCAACAGCCCUGGGGUGGAAUGAAUCCGAUGCAAGUUGUGGGUGCUGUCGGUUUCCAGCAUUGUCGCCUUGUCAUUCCAGAUGAUAUGGACCCUGCUAUCAUGGAGACAUGGAUAUUAUCAAGCAAUCCUGAAAGACAUGAGUGUACUCUUCAAUCAUUUUAUCCUUGUUCUAAGAUAUCAGAACUCUUGCUUAUAGCAUUCUGAAAACCGCUUGUUCUAUCGAAUAUGAAUAAUCACAUGAAAGGAAAUACACAUUUGAUCUUGAUAAGAGAUCCAAAGUUGAGACCUACAUUUGCUGAAAUAAUGGCAGCGCUGAAGCCGAUCAUUGGUUCUCAAUCUCAAGUGCCGAAACCGGGUAGGCAUGAGAAGGCUCAGUCAUCAAGAGUUGGUGCAGACUCAGCAGGAUAGGAAACAAUUAUACAGCUAACCAUAUAUUUGUUCAUUUUUGCUGAUAAAGAAAAUGAUGGGAAGACAAAUCUUUGUUCAUUUUUGCUGAUAAAGAAAAUGAUGGGAAGACAAAUCUUUGUUCAUUUUUGCUGAUAAAGAAAAUGAUGGGAAGACAAAUCUUUGUUCAUUUUUGCUGAUAAAGAAAAUGAUGGGAAGACAAGUUGAGUAUUUUUGCUCAUUUAGUCCUGUGAUUCUUUUCAGUCUUGUCCCUUUCCUUUUUUUUUUUUUUAAUUUCUUUCUUCCCAUUUACUUUUAAAAUGUUUUUUGCAAUCUGCAGUGGAGUCAUUAUCAGUUUGUACCAUUUGUUUGUGUACACAAUUCUUUUUGUAAUUUUGCUAUAAUCAAUUCUAAAUUUUGAUGUGCAUAAAUUAUGAGA